CGUUUCCGGUGUGGCCGCUACGAAGAGCCGCAGCCUUUGCAGCUUCGGCGAGGAGGGCGUGAGGCGUGUGCGCCUCCGCGGCGUCUCCACGGAACGAGCGGGGCGCGCCCUCCUCCCCGGUGGGCGGAAGGGGGUCACCUGCCGGGGGUUCAACAUGGGAGCCAUAAAUACCGUAGAAUUUCUGAAAUGGAAGAGACAUUUUCUCACUAACGAGGAAGCCCCCUUGGCGCCCGCCCUGAGCGCUAGCAGGCAACCGAGGCAGCGUUCUUCCGGAUGUGCCAAGCGCCUCCCGCCCGCUCCUCCAGCUCGGCCCCUUCCCCUGCAGCAGACCACACGGCUCAAGACGACGAUGUGACAGAGAGAAAACAAGCCCCUCUCUUGUCUGCGACCCGCGAGGCGACCGCGGCGAGCGGGCAACCGGCUCCCCAUUCCGAUUAGGCAAUUAGCUGAUUGCUGCCGGCCCGCAGCCCGGGCGAGCGGUGCGCGGGGAUCUCGCUGCCUGCCCACCUCUCCUGCAAACAGAGGCACGUUCUCCGACUUUGAUAGCUCCCUGGGUUCCUGUGAAAAACAACCACAGCGUUUCCAGAGUGCGUUUCUCAAAUACCAGCGUCAGGGGAUCGCAGAAUUACAGCAACAAAUGUUACGAGGUAAUGUUUCCAAAUAGACACGCUGAAAAAUAAUCCAAAUAGGGCCAU
RNAcentral lists this long non-coding RNA (695 nucleotides) under Saimiri boliviensis boliviensis (Bolivian squirrel monkey). Its description in RNAcentral is "lncRNA (ENSSBOG00000036492.1)". The record is from RNAcentral. Lineage: Eukaryota; Metazoa; Chordata; Mammalia; Primates; Cebidae.